This 1219-nucleotide ribosomal RNA is filed under the name Campylobacter jejuni. RNAcentral describes it as "partial 23S ribosomal RNA". It matches the Rfam family "Bacterial large subunit ribosomal RNA", at positions 1 to 1240 of the family's 2925-position model. Lineage: Bacteria; Pseudomonadati; Campylobacterota; Epsilonproteobacteria; Campylobacterales; Campylobacteraceae. The record is from RNAcentral.
AAAAAAGGUAAGCUACUAAGAGCGAAUGGUGGAUGCCUUGACUGGUAAAGGCGAUGAAGGACGUACUAGACUGCGAUAAGCUACGGGGAGCUGUCAAGAAGCUUUGAUCCGUAGAUUUCCGAAUGGGGCAACCCAAUGUAUAGAGAUAUACAUUACCUAUAUAGGAGCGAACGAGGGGAAUUGAAACAUCUUAGUACCCUCAGGAAAAGAAAUCAAUAGAGAUUGCGUCAGUAGCGGCGAGCGAAAGCGCAAGAGGGCAAACCCAGUGCUUGCACUGGGGGUUGUAGGACUGCAAUGUGCAAGAGGUAAGUUUAGCAGAACAUUCUGGAAAGUAUAACCAUAGAGGGUGAUAGUCCCGUAUGCGAAAAACAAACCUUAGCUAGCAGUAUCCUGAGUAGGGCGGGACACGAGGAAUCCUGUCUGAAUCCGGGUCGACCACGAUCCAACCCUAAAUACUAAUACCAGAUCGAUAGUGCACAAGUACCGUGAGGGAAAGGUGAAAAGAACUGAGGUGAUCAGAGUGAAAUAGAACCUGAAACCAUUUGCUUACAAUCAUUCAGAGCCCUAUGUAGCAAUACAGGGUGAUGGACUGCCUUUUGCAUAAUGAGCCUGCGAGUUGUGGUGUCUGGCAAGGUUAAGCAAACGCGAAGCCGUAGCGAAAGCGAGUCUGAAUAGGGCGCUUAGUCAGAUGCUGCAGACCCGAAACGAAGUGAUCUAUCCAUGAGCAAGUUGAAGCUAGUGUAAGAACUAGUGGAGGACUGAACCCAUAGGCGUUGAAAAGCCCCGGGAUGACUUGUGGAUAGGGGUGAAAGGCCAAUCAAACUUCGUGAUAGCUGGUUCUCUCCGAAAUAUAUUUAGGUAUAGCGUUGUGUCGUAAUAUAAGGGGGUAGAGCACUGAAUGGGCUAGGGCAUACACCAAUGUACCAAACCCUAUCAAACUCCGAAUACCUUAUAUGUAAUCACAGCAGUCAGGCGGCGAGUGAUAAAAUCCGUCGUCAAGAGGGAAACAACCCAGACUACCAGCUAAGGUCCCUAAAUCUUACUUAAGUGGAAAACGAUGUGAAGUUACUUAAACAACCAGGAGGUUGGCUUAGAAGCAGCCAUCCUUUAAAGAAAGCGUAAUAGCUCACUGGUCUAGUGAUUUUGCGCGGAAAAUAUAACGGGGCUAAAGUAAGUACCGAAGCUGUAGACUUAGUUUACUAAGUGGUAGGAGAGCGUU